Molecule: long non-coding RNA, 323 nt
Filed under: Fragaria vesca (wild strawberry)
Lineage: Eukaryota; Viridiplantae; Streptophyta; Magnoliopsida; Rosales; Rosaceae
Description: long non-coding RNA (FVES_LNC001990)
Source: RNAcentral
UAUCCUUCUUUGCCUCACGUUUCAUAAGCGACUGAUAGAACUCAACCAGCUCAGGAGCACGGUGCACUUUAUCACCACCUCCUGCGCCCCUUGGCAAGCUUCCUGGUGGAGGAGGUGGACGAGGUGGUCCACCAGGUGGUGGAGGAGGUGGUGGUGGGCCACCUGGUGGAGGAGGUGGUGGUGGUAUCCCACUUGAGGGAGCUGGAGUUGAACUAGUAGGGGCACCUCCAGAUUUUGGAGGUGGCCUAGGCACCCUAGGAGGUCUCUUCUCAAUUUGAGCUAGUUUCAUCUUGCUUAUUUCUUGAGGAUCGAAAGCCUUACCA